UGCCAGCCGCCGCGGUAAUACGAACGGGGCUAGCGUUGUUCGGAUUUACUGGGCGUAAAGAGCACGUAGGCGGUUUGCAUAGUCAGAGGUGAAAGGCCGGGGCUCAACCCCGGAACUGCCUUUGAUACUGGCAAACCAGGGGUCGAGAGAGGGUGGUGGAACUCCAAGUGUAGAGGUGAAAUUCGUAGAUAUUUGGAAGAACACCAGCGGCGAAGGCGGCCACCUGGCUCGAUACUGACGCUGAGGUGCGAAAGCGUGGGGAGCAAACAGGGUUAGAUA
Molecule: ribosomal RNA, 279 nt
Filed under: uncultured bacterium
Lineage: Bacteria
Description: partial 16S ribosomal RNA
Rfam family: Bacterial small subunit ribosomal RNA
Source: RNAcentral